ACUGUGAAACUGCGAAUGGCUCAUUAAAUCAGUUAUGGUUUAUUUGAUGGUACCUUACUACUUGGAUAACCGUAGUAAUUCUAGAGCUAAUACAUGCAGGAGGUCCCGACUUCGGAAGGGAUGUAUUUAUUAGAUAAGAAACCAAUCCGGCUUGCCGGUUGCGUGCUGAGUCACAAUAACUGCUCGAAUCGAAUGGCCUUGCGCCGUCGAUGGUUCAUUCAAAUUUCUGCCCUAUCAGCUUUCGAUGGUAGGAUCGAGGCCUACCAUGGCGUUUACGGGUAACGGAGAAUUAGGGUUCGAUUCCGGAGAGGGAGCCUGAGAAAUGGCUACCACAUCCAAGGAAGGCAGCAGGCGCGUAAAUUGCCCGAAUCCUGACACAGGGAGGUAGUGACAAGAAAUAACAAUACAGGGCUACUUUAGUCUUGUAAUUGGAAUGAGUACAAUUUACAUCUCUUCACGAGGAUCAAUUGGAGGGCAAGUCUGGUGCCAGCAGCCGCGGUAAUUCCAGCUCCAAUAGCGUAUAUUAAAGUUGUUGCAGUUAAAACGCUCGUAGUCGGAUUUCGGGGCCUGCCUGCCGGUCUGCCGAUGGGUAUGCACUGGCAGGCGCGUCCUUCCUUCCGGAGACUGUCCCUACUCUUAACUGAGCGGGGUCGGGAGACGGAUCGUUUACUUUGAAAAAAUCAGAGUGUUUCAAGCAGGCAGCUCGCUCUUGCAUGGAUUAGCAUGGGAUAAUGAAAUAGGACUUUGGUGCUAUUUUGUUGGUUUCGAACACCGAAGUAAUGAUUAACA
Molecule: ribosomal RNA, 789 nt
Filed under: uncultured eukaryote
Lineage: Eukaryota
Description: SSU rRNA
Rfam family: Eukaryotic small subunit ribosomal RNA
Source: RNAcentral